Molecule: transfer RNA, 76 nt
Filed under: Methylobacillus flagellatus
Lineage: Bacteria; Pseudomonadati; Pseudomonadota; Betaproteobacteria; Nitrosomonadales; Methylophilaceae
Also listed under: 13 other names
Description: tRNA-His
Rfam family: tRNA
About the family: Transfer RNA (tRNA) molecules are approximately 80 nucleotides in length. Their secondary structure includes four short double-helical elements and three loops (D, anti-codon, and T loops). Further hydrogen bonds mediate the characteristic L-shaped molecular structure. tRNAs have two regions of fundamental functional importance: the anti-codon, which is responsible for specific mRNA codon recognition, and the 3' end, to which the tRNAs corresponding amino acid is attached (by aminoacyl-tRNA synthetases). tRNAs cope with the degeneracy of the genetic code in two manners: having more than one tRNA (with a specific anti-codon) for a particular amino acid; and 'wobble' base-pairing, i.e. permitting non-standard base-pairing at the 3rd anti-codon position.
Source: RNAcentral
GUGGCUGUAGCUCAGUUGGUAGAGCCCUGGAUUGUGAUUCCAGUUGUCGUCGGUUCGAGCCCGAUCAGCCACCCCA